RNAcentral lists this ribosomal RNA (1587 nucleotides) under Staphylococcus aureus. RNAcentral's name for it is "partial 23S ribosomal RNA". It matches the Rfam family "Bacterial large subunit ribosomal RNA", at positions 1340 to 2925 of the family's 2925-position model. Lineage: Bacteria; Bacillati; Bacillota; Bacilli; Caryophanales; Staphylococcaceae. The record is from RNAcentral.
AUUGACUAAGGUUUCCAGAGGAAGGCUCGUCCGCUCUGGGUUAGUCGGGUCCUAAGCUGAGGCCGACAGGCGUAGGCGAUGGAUAACAGGUUGAUAUUCCUGUACCACCUAUAAUCGUUUUAAUCGAUGGGGGGACGCAGUAGGAUAGGCGAAGCGUGCGAUUGGAUUGCACGUCUAAGCAGUAAGGCUGAGUAUUAGGCAAAUCCGGUACUCGUUAAGGCUGAGCUGUGAUGGGGAGAAGACAUUGUGUCUUCGAGUCGUUGAUUUCACACUGCCGAGAAAAGCCUCUAGAUAGAAAAUAGGUGCCCGUACCGCAAACCGACACAGGUAGUCAAGAUGAGAAUUCUAAGGUGAGCGAGCGAACUCUCGUUAAGGAACUCGGCAAAAUGACCCCGUAACUUCGGGAGAAGGGGUGCUCUUUAGGGUUAACGCCCAGAAGAGCCGCAGUGAAUAGGCCCAAGCGACUGUUUAUCAAAAACACAGGUCUCUGCUAAACCGUAAGGUGAUGUAUAGGGGCUGACGCCUGCCCGGUGCUGGAAGGUUAAGAGGAGUGGUUAGCUUCUGCGAAGCUACGAAUCGAAGCCCCAGUAAACGGCGGCCGUAACUAUAACGGUCCUAAGGUAGCGAAAUUCCUUGUCGGGUAAGUUCCGACCCGCACGAAAGGCGUAACGAUUUGGGCACUGUCUCAACGAGAGACUCGGUGAAAUCAUAGUACCUGUGAAGAUGCAGGUUACCCGCGACAGGACGGAAAGACCCCGUGGAGCUUUACUGUAGCCUGAUAUUGAAAUUCGGCACAGCUUGUACAGGAUAGGUAGGAGCCUUUGAAACGUGAGCGCUAGCUUACGUGGAGGCGCUGGUGGGAUACUACCCUAGCUGUGUUGGCUUUCUAACCCGCACCACUUAUCGUGGUGGGAGACAGUGUCAGGCGGGCAGUUUGACUGGGGCGGUCGCCUCCUAAAAGGUAACGGAGGCGCUCAAAGGUUCCCUCAGAAUGGUUGGAAAUCAUUCAUAGAGUGUAAAGGCAUAAGGGAGCUUGACUGCGAGACCUACAAGUCGAGCAGGGUCGAAAGACGGACUUAGUGAUCCGGUGGUUCCGCAUGGAAGGGCCAUCGCUCAACGGAUAAAAGCUACCCCGGGGAUAACAGGCUUAUCUCCCCCAAGAGUUCACAUCGACGGGGAGGUUUGGCACCUCGAUGUCGGCUCAUCGCAUCCUGGGGCUGUAGUCGGUCCCAAGGGUUGGGCUGUUCGCCCAUUAAAGCGGUACGCGAGCUGGGUUCAGAACGUCGUGAGACAGUUCGGUCCCUAUCCGUCGUGGGCGUAGGAAAUUUGAGAGGAGCUGUCCUUAGUACGAGAGGACCGGGAUGGACAUACCUCUGGUGUACCAGUUGUCGUGCCAACGGCAUAGCUGGGUAGCUAUGUGUGGACGGGAUAAGUGCUGAAAGCAUCUAAGCAUGAAGCCCCCCUCAAGAUGAGAUUUCCCAACUUCGGUUAUAAGAUCCCUCAAAGAUGAUGAGGUUAAUAGGUUCGAGGUGGAAGCAUGGUGACAUGUGGAGCUGACGAAUACUAAUCGAUCGAAGACUUAAUCAA